AGUGAACGCUGGCGGUAGGCCUAACACAUGCAAGUCGAACGGCAGCACAGUAAGAGCUUGCUCUUACGGGUGGCGAGUGGCGGACGGGUGAGGAAUACAUCGGAAUCUACUUUUUCGUGGGGGAUAACGUAGGGCAACUUACGCUAAUACCGCAUACGACCUACGGGUGAAAGCAGGGGAUCUUCGGACCUUGCGCGAUUGAAUGAGCUGAUGUCGGAUUAGCUAGUUGGCGGGGUAAAGGCCCACCAAGGCGACGAUCCGUAGCUGGUCUGAGAGGAUGAUCAGCCACACUGGAACUGAGACACGGUCCAGACUCCUACGGGAGGCAGCAGUGGGGAAUAUUGCGCAAUGGGCGCAAGCCUGACCGAGCAAUGCCGCGUGAGUGAUGAAGGUCUUCGGGUUGUAAAGCCCUUUUAUUGGGAAAGAACAGAUGUGGAUGAAUCUCCGCAUGUCUUGACGGUACCUAAAGAGAAAGCCCCGGCUAACUUCGUG
RNAcentral lists this ribosomal RNA (492 nucleotides) under uncultured bacterium. Its description in RNAcentral is "partial 16S ribosomal RNA". It matches the Rfam family "Bacterial small subunit ribosomal RNA", at positions 29 to 507 of the family's 1533-position model. The record is from RNAcentral.